Molecule: long non-coding RNA, 512 nt
Filed under: Olea europaea (common olive)
Lineage: Eukaryota; Viridiplantae; Streptophyta; Magnoliopsida; Lamiales; Oleaceae
Description: long non-coding RNA (OEUR_LNC011921)
Source: RNAcentral
AAAAGUGGAGAAAUUUGUAGAGAGAGAAUGAGAAGACGGAGGCCUAACCUAAACAACCAGCAACUUAGAAAACAUCAACUAGUGAAGACUAAAGAAGGACUAAAAGCCUAAUUAACAAAAUAAACGGUGGAGAUUGAAGUGCGUGGGUAUCAGCCGUUGAUCAUGAAAGAGAAAGUGGGAAGGGGCGUGGCGUUUACGCGACUUUAUUCUUCUUUGCGUCUCUGCGUAAGCGUGAGCGUCGGCCGCUCGCUAAGACAAGUUAAAGAAUUUAUGGUCGAUGAUGAAACGGUGCCGUUUCUCUUCUUUUAGUCUUUUGUCCAUUGUGGCAGACGUUAAGUGGUUAUUGACAUGGGACCAGCAAUACGGUGUUUUUUGUUGUUGAUAACGUAGUAAUUGAGGUUAUGAAUUGUUUAGUCUAAAAUACCCUCAACAUAAUGCCACAUACGUCCUUGUUUGAGCCAUUUUUCAAAACUCAUUUUCAAUCCAACAUUCAUCAAUAAAAUAAUUUUAUA